This 2814-nucleotide long non-coding RNA is filed under the name Volvox carteri. Its description in RNAcentral is "long non-coding RNA (VCAR_LNC003267)". Lineage: Eukaryota; Viridiplantae; Chlorophyta; Chlorophyceae; Chlamydomonadales; Volvocaceae. The record is from RNAcentral.
AUGUUAGGUUUUCUUGUUAGUCGUUAAGUCGUUAACUUUACUCGUGGACGAUCAUUUGAGAUAUGGAUAAUGUACGACCUUUCGGCGCCGCCUAGGCUCUGGUUGACUAUUUAAGUCGUUGUUGUUGUUUAGUUUGUUAUGUCAUCAUUGUUACAUCUUGUAGGUUGUUAGCUGGCUUAAGUCGCUCGGCCCUCUUUGUAAUCAUCGUGGCAUCCCAACGAGAAACGGAGCCUAUGCCCUUUCAGUUGGUAUCGAUCUAGACGAUCCGGCCUAUACGCUUCGCUCCGCCUUCGUCUUCAUCGUCUUCGUCGUCAUCGCUUUCGUCUUCGCUCUGCUGGUCAUCUUCGUCAUCGUCGUCUUCGUCAUCUUCGUCUUCGUCAUCCUCCGAUGGCUCCCGUCCCCAUCACGGGACUCUAUCAAGCGCAGCUUGCUAUGUUUGCCUUGACGCAGGGUUCCGGACCAAACUCCUUACAAUGCUACAUUGCGGAAUUCCAACGCCUUAUGGCUGACCUGCCGUACCGCCACGAGAAGGACCACGUCCUCUUCUUCGCGCAGGGACUGCAGGACGACCUCAGGAAGGAGAUCUUCUCACACUUACGCAACCCGGGUUCCUACAUACGACUGCAGGAUGUGAUCGACCUUGCGUGCACCAUUUCAAUGGAGCACGAUGCCGCUCACCGCUCACCGCAUUCGCUACCGCAGGGCACCUGCACCAUCAACGUCCCCACCGACCGCUCGCCCUUUCGUUCCACCACCUCUCGAACCGCAAACCGCUCUCCCUCCCGCUCCCCCUCCCCCUCUCCGACUCGCACCGACAAUUCCGACCGCCGUCGUCAGGACAACGACCGUGGACGCACCUUUCUCUCCCGUUCAGACAGCCCCCAGCCUUGCCGCGAUGACCAGCACCGCCGCGCCGACCCACCCUGCCGCCGCUGCCGUUCGCCUCGAUCCCGUCAACGUGGCCUUUAAGCCACCACCGGCAGAACAGGUUAGCCACAGCUUGCCGGUGCGUUUUGCUGUGCAAUGGUCAGCCGAGUCUGACACCCCGCCGCCGUCACCGUUCAACGUUUCGCGCCUAACCCAGAUCGCCAGUAAGCCCGCCCGCCGUGUAGGUUGUAUGCGUGCUCGUGUAGCUGCAGCCUCCACGACGGAAGCGCACCGGGUGGACAGCGACUGGAUGCUUUCGUGCACCGUCUUCGUCCUCUCUUAUCUCGUCGUCUCCAUCGUCACCUACUUCGUCGUCUUCGUCUCCUCUUAUCUCAUCGUCUCCGUCGUCACCUACUUCGUCGUCAUCACCAACGUUCUUCGUCUCGCGAAAAUCGUCCGUAAGCCUGCCCGUCUUGCCGGCUGCAAGCGUGCUCGUGCAGCUGCAACCUCGACAACGACGGGAGCAUGCCAGGCGAACAGCGAUUACACCCUUUUACUCUCACGUCUUCAUCCCCCACCCUGUUCCCUGAUACCACCCUUCACCCCGUUUCCACCUCGUCCCAUCCUUCACCAUCUUCUGCCAACCAUCCGUCAUCGCCUUCAAGUCUGUCAGAACUCUCAUCGUUCAUUUCUCCAGUCCCCAUCCAGCACCUUUGCCCCAACCAUCGGACUGCCCUUCACCUCAACCUACUGUUGCUAAUCUUAUCACCAGCCUUCUCACCGUCGUCCUCCAGCUCCACCCGCCGUGCCCAUCACACUGGAGUCACCGUACGACCACGCCGACACUAUCGUUACUGCAGUUCGCCUAGGUUAUAACCGACGUGGUCGGCCGUCCGUCAUGUUCCUAGUUCAGUGGUCUACCGCCAGUGGCCGUGACGCGUCCUGGGAACCGUACGAUGACGUACGCAGCCUUCCAGCACUUCGUGCCUUCCUGGCGACCCCAGCCUGGACCUCGUUUAAGCUGUCCGACCGCUAUGCCUGGUUCAGAGCGAAGUUUCCGGAACGCGCCCCGAGGAUAGUGCACUUCGUGACAACCUAGCGCUACGCAUAGGAUGUGUGUUGUGUGUGACUCGUGUCCUGUGUGUUUCAGUUUGGGUUAUUUCGCCUCAGUUUUGCGCGUGUCGUGUCUUGACUUCUGUUUUUUUCGGGGUAUUGCGUGUUGCAUGUUGUGUAUUUUCGCGUUCUCUUGCGUUCUUUUGUCAUCCACCGAGUUUGCUUUCCGUGCCUUAGGCUUUUGGUUUGCGUACUCUUUGUGGAUGUUUUGGACACGUUCGUUGGGAUAUAUACCGGUUCCUCAGACCGGCAAGUAUAGGUGUCGUGCGCCUUAUUUAGGCCGGUAUCCAGUGCGGGGAAGGUUUUGCCUUGACUCCGGUUCCCUUUUGCCUUCCCCUCGUUAGCCUGGUACCGAUUUCGUUCAGGGAAUCGGAGUGGCGCACGACUUAGAAUACUUUGUACUUUUGAUCGCAUCGAGGCCGAUGCUUGUGCUAAGCAGGGGGGCAUGUUAGGUUUUCUUGUUAGUCGUUAAGUCGUUAACUUUACUCGUGGACGAUCAUUUGAGAUAUGGAUAAUGUACGACCUUUCGGCGCCGCCUAGGCUCUGGUUGACUAUUUAAGUCGUUGUUGUUGUUUAGUUUGUUAUGUCAUCAUUGUUACAUCUUGUAGGUUGUUAGCUGGCUUAAGUCGCUCGGCCCUCUUUGUAAUCAUCGUGGCAUCCCAACGAGAAACGGAGCCUAUGCCCUUUCAACACAUGUUUGACUUGGUGUUGUAGUUUCACUAUUUCAAGAAACCCAAACGACGGGGUCCUGGGGACUCGGUCAGAGCCAUCAGCCAAGAAGUUACACUAUUUAAGGCGUUAUCAGUAUGAUAUCCAACUAUUGCGUAUCAUAUU